AUUGAAAAAAUUCAAAUGGGAAGUGUGCAAAGGAGAGUAGACGAAAAGAAAAUUCCUUGGCUCAACAUAAUAGCAGCAUUUCGUGUUUGUCUCGUACUUCAAACAAUUUUCCCAAAAUGUGACCUCUUGUCUGUUCUGUGCAUCUGUAGCAUGCAUGAACCAAGUGGAAGGAAAGUAGGUCAUUUGAUAUGUAUACCAUACGAGUGAGUUUGAGACCUGUAUCUGCUGUCUUGUGAUAUUUUCCUCACGGUGAGGCUACUAAAUAAACCCAAGCAGCACAAAGGACUGGGAUUCGGCUGGGAACGUAACGGGGAUGAUGGGUUCGAGGUGGCCGAUAUCGCCGUCACGAGCCCGACUGCUUCCCGACUAUGUGAGGGGGAAGAAUUGAGGGAGAGGGAAACUACAUAAAAUUAUUUCCCGAUAGAUCCCCGUUCGUGUCCCGGUCAGAAUUCUUUCCCGAUAGAUUCCCGUUUGCGUCCCGGCCAGGAUUCUUUCCCGAUGGAUCCCCGUUAACGUCCCGAUCUGCUGUGGUGUACUGGCUAAGUAUUUCUUCCCGCUCGUCUCCCGAUGUUUAUGCAGAUUCGGUAACACGUGAUCGGAUGGUACAGCUCGAGACAAAGUUUCUGAAACACGGGUUUUCUGUAUUGGACUUUUCCCAGCCACCUUUGGGAAAUGCUUGUUGAGCAGAAUCCUUGGGGAUUCUGUUCAACAAGUGUUCCCCUUAGGCCGCAGGGGAGGCGUAGAGAAGUGAAAUACAAAACACCCGUGUUUCAGAAACUUUUGUCCCAAGCUGUACGAGACAGUGAAGCAUCCCUUCAGGAAGGAAUUUGGCUGUCUGGUAUGAGGUAACUCUUUCAAACAUUGGGCUGCAGUUCACUUCAUGUGUUGUGUUGUGUUGUGUUGUAUGACGGAAAACAUGCACACGCAGCACCCUGAACAGAAGUAUUAAUGGAGCCUCACUGCAAAGCACGCAAGUACAAGAUACUCGGGAAGAGUCGGCCACGCCCGAACGAAACGACCGAAUCUCCCGAAUCGAAAAACUCACGUGAAACGAAACGAAGAGAGCUUUAGCAAGUCGAACUGAUCGGACGAAAACCGCUGCACCGAAACCCGCAAAGACUACGCUGGAGCUCCCUGCAUUUGGGCUACCGCGACUGCCAUCGCCAUCAUCUUUGUUUUGGUUGUCAUUGCUGGGUGCAAAUGGCCGGCGUGUGUGUUCUUAAUGUUUCUGAGCAACAAGUUUUGCAAAGUUUGGUUCGGAGGGAGUAUGGAACGCCGUUUUGUGGUCAACGUGGCCAGAGUGCCUCAAAAGUACUCCUGCCGCAUUCUGGUCACUGUUAUAAAUGUGAAUCCCUGCCACCAUCAGCAGCUUUUAAGUAGAUUCAUGGCACAUGAGGAACCUGCGAUGUACACCAUCGCACACAGUCAAGAAAAAUGUAGCAUUUAACCUUGCUUUCCUUCAUUAUAACAAACAAAAAAAAAGAAAGAAAGAAAGAACACUAGAGAAAGGGUCGGCAAAACAGUGAGUGUUUUGUUGUUUUUGAUUCUAUUGAUCUCUCACUGUCAGGUUGCACUGCCGAUCUGUUCACAAUCAUAACUAACUAAUACCUUAGCUUUGGCCAAUCUCAUGUUGCAAUUUUGCUUCAAACACAACAUUCAGGGAUUCUUAUGAAAACAGCAGCAUUUCUGAAAGAUCCUGGAACGGCCACAAUCUCAAGAGGUAGUACGAUUCUACCCGUCGUCAUAUUUCGUCCGCCAAGCCAUUGCGCGGAGAUGUUGGCUCCAUGCCCAUUUCAACACAGGCUCACCCGCGCUCGCUCGCGCGUCGUCGCUUGUCUUCCAUGCCACCAGCCAGCGCUGCGCGCUGCCUGUCGCGCAUGCGCUGUUCUUGUUGGCUUCGCUUUGGCUGCUGUAACGGUCGUUUCUCGUCGCCGCGUGUAGUUCGCGUAAUUGCGAGCGUUCCAGCAAGUCUAAAGCGUUUUAGAGGCUUUGUAUUGUUGUUCUCACCUGGUGCUGUCGUUCUUGCAACCCGUCUGAUAUUGCAACUGUCUGUAAGUGGAAGCGUUUCUUCUAACCGCGAGCAAACCAGUCGGUCUCGUUUGACAUGUCAAAGAGUGAAGACGCUACCUUGCAUGUGAAGCCAAAUCGUUCUUCGCCUUCAGGAUUAUUGCCGUUUCAGGGAUCUGCGCAACGACAGGGAGAUAGAACGCCAAGUGAAGUCGACUGUGUACUUUGUGCAGACGGUUCAGCGUGUAUGACGCAGCGGCCUUCAGCAAGAGAAACUCAAGCACCGUGUUCAAAUGCAGUGGGGACUCUUGCUGGCCAUGACAACGCUUAGAAGUGCUUUUUCGGAAGAAGGACAAGUUGGACCGGAAAUGAGGACCUAGGUGUGCUCUUUUGCGCUGUUGUUCACCGUUCGAUCAUUACCAGUUUUUGUGCCCCCGUGAGUUCAACGCUUAGGUAUGUUGAUGAUAAAUGGAUAUGCGUUAAAAGGUACGUACUCCGGAGUGGUGAAUUGUUCUGGUGAAGUGAUUCGUUGCUGCUAUCUCCUGUUUCGUGAGGGUUCUUGUCGGUACUCAUAUACCGCAGGCAUGAGGGGCUUUCUUUGCAGAACAUUUCAGUAAACCAAGACUGCAGCAUUUUCAAGAUUGCCAUAACCAGCAUCAAUGCAGCUCUCAUGUCAACAUCAGCAUCAAGACAGCUCUGAUGUGAGCAUCAGCCAGCGCAGCUCUGAUGUUAACAUCAUCAGAGCAGCUGUGAUGUUAACAUCAGACCUGAUGUCGCUUUUUUUUUCAAUAGGGAUGCUUCUCCUUGACCAUGUUUUUUUUUUGCUUAUUGACGUUUUUGUGAAGGAACGCUGAAUAUGCGCACACCAUUGACUGUCAGCUCUAGUCCCGGUCAGCUGUCAUUUUUUACAGUUUUCGUUGUAGUAAUUGCUAGUCAUUUGCACCAAAGGCGCUGGAUGUGAACUAUUUUCUCUUUCCUGGACUUGCAUUUCUCCCAGUCGUUGGCUUUGUCAUUUUUUCAUAAUUUAAAUUUUCUCUUGGUAACUCUUGAGUUUCGUAAUCCCUACGCUGUGCAUUUUACCAUUUUUGAUAAAGCUCAUUCCACGUACCGUGCACAUACUAUUUUGUGCUGAAGUGCAGCAAUUGUUUCGUUACGUCUAAUGUUACAUGCCAUUCAUUUUUGUGUCUGGGCAGUACUGAAGCGUGAGCAGAUAGGCAGACUGCCUAUUACUGCAUAACUUCGUUUUCUUUGAGGCACCACCACUUGGACAGGCAGACCGCCUCUUGCUGUAUACUUUUUCUUUCUUUUGAGACACUGUUGACGUGCGAGUGGUUACGCAGGCAGGCUGCAUAUUACUGUAUACCAUUUCCCACCAUGCAGCAAUUUUACCGUUACGUCUAAUAUUAAUGCUACAAGCCGUUCAUUUCUUCCAGGGCCAUUGCCGAAGUGCAAGUGGUUAGGCAGACUGCCUACUACUGCAUACCUUUUUUGUUUCCUUUCAGAGACCACCUCUUACUGUGUACGUUCCCCCCCCCUUUUGAGACACCAUUGAAGGGCCAGUGGUUACGCAGGCAGGCUGGAUAUUACGGUAGACCAUUUCCACCCUUUUCUUUUCAGGCUACAUUGGCAAUGACAGUAGUUAUGCGGACAUGCUGCAUAUUUCUGUAUACCCCUCUUUUUUUGUUUUUCAUUUCAGACACAAUUGGCAUGCAUUGGAUGAUGCAGGCAGACUGCUUAGUGUACACCACUCGUCGUUUAGUCUAUUGAGGUGCUCCAAGUGUUGUGUCAGUCUAUUUCCUCUCCGAAAAUAAAAUGUUGGGCUCUACA
Ornithodoros turicata is the source of this 3834-nucleotide long non-coding RNA. RefSeq lists it as uncharacterized. The transcript is spliced from 3 exons. NCBI's taxonomy places the organism in Eukaryota, Metazoa, Arthropoda, Arachnida, Ixodida, Argasidae. The record is from RefSeq and is a predicted model, not a curated record.